CUCGGGCAAGUUAUCACAAAACAGGGAGAAUCCCGGCACCUAACUCGGAACGGUCACAGGCUGAGAUGAUACUACUGUGUGAAGUGCGCAGAGCGGUGUUGGGCACAUGGUCAUCGGAACUAUAUAAGAACUGAAGCGUGGCAAGAUUAAGGAAGUUGCUCAACUUCACAUAGCCAGAACAUGACUCUAGGGAGUAGAGGCUAGCGAAGUGGGGUGCAAGAGGUCAUCCAAAUUUCUUGAAAUACCAGAUCUUUUUACCUCAUCAUAUAUGUUAGAUUGUCAGUUUUAUCGUUUUCUUCCCAGCUUUAUUAUUUGACAAAAAAAUUAUAUAUAUUCAAGGUGUACAAUGUGAUGACUGGAUAUAAUUAUACAUUGUGUAAUGAUUACCAAAAUCAAAUUAAUUAAAACAUCCUUCACUAA
RNAcentral lists this non-coding RNA (420 nucleotides) under Pan troglodytes (chimpanzee). Lineage: Eukaryota; Metazoa; Chordata; Mammalia; Primates; Hominidae. The record is from RNAcentral.